CAGCUUGCUGCUUUGCUGACGAGUGGCGGACGGGUGAGUAAUGUCUGGGAAACUGCCUGAUGGAGGGGGAUAACUACUGGAAACGGUAGCUAAUACCGCAUAACGUCGCAAGACCAAAGAGGGGGACCUUAGGGCCUCUUGCCAUCGGAUGUGCCCAGAUGGGAUUAGCUAGUAGGUGGGGUAACGGCUCACCUAGGCGACGAUCCCUAGCUGGUCUGAGAGGAUGACCAGCCACACUGGAACUGAGACACGGUCCAGACUCCUACGGGAGGCAGCAGUGGGGAAUAUUGCACAAUGGGCGCAAGCCUGAUGCAGCCAUGCCGCGUGUAUGAAGAAGGCCUUCGGGUUGUAAAGUACUUUCAGCGGGGAGGAAGGGAGUAAAGUUAAUACCUUUGCUCAUUGACGUUACCCGCAGAAGAAGCACCGGCUAACUCCGUGCCAGCAGCCGCGGUAAUACGGAGGGUGCAAGCGUUAAUCGGAAUUACUGGGCGUAAAGCGCACGCAGGCGGUUUGUUAAGUCAGAUGUGAAAUCCCCGGGCUCAACCUGGGAACUGCAUCUGAUACUGGCAAGCUUGAGUCUCGUAGAGGGGGGUAGAAUUCCAGGUGUAGCGGUGAAAUGCGUAGAGAUCUGGAGGAAUACCGGUGGCGAAGGCGGCCCCCUGGACGAAGACUGACGCUCAGGUGCGAAAGCGUGGGGAGCAA
RNAcentral lists this ribosomal RNA (702 nucleotides) under Enterobacteriaceae bacterium HGH0219. RNAcentral describes it as "bacterial SSU rRNA". It matches the Rfam family "Bacterial small subunit ribosomal RNA", at positions 76 to 771 of the family's 1533-position model. Lineage: Bacteria; Pseudomonadati; Pseudomonadota; Gammaproteobacteria; Enterobacterales; Enterobacteriaceae. The record is from RNAcentral.